CUGGUCUUGACAUCCCUGUGGCGUAUGGGCAAUGCCAUAUUCCCUUCGGGGCACAGGAGACAGGUGGUGCAUGGUUGUCGUCAGCUCGUGUCGUGAGAUGUUGGGUUAAGUCCCGCAACGAGCGCAACCCUUAUCUUUAGUAGCCAGCAGGUAAAGCUGGGCACUCUAGAGAGACUGCCCGAGAUAACCGGGAGGAAGGUGGGGAUGACGUCAAAUCAUCAUGCCCCUUAUGACCAGGGCUACACACGUGCUACAAUGGCGUAAACAAAGGGAAGCGAGACCGCGAGGUGGAGCGAAUCCCAAAAAUAACGUCUCAGUUCGGAUUGUAGUCUGCAACUCGACUACAUGAAGCUGGAAUCGCUAGUAAUCGCGAAUCAGCAUGUCGCGGUGAAUACGUUCCC
Molecule: ribosomal RNA, 401 nt
Filed under: uncultured bacterium
Lineage: Bacteria
Description: bacterial SSU rRNA
Rfam family: Bacterial small subunit ribosomal RNA
Source: RNAcentral